Molecule: transfer RNA, 72 nt
Filed under: Myxococcales bacterium
Lineage: Bacteria; Pseudomonadati; Myxococcota; Myxococcia; Myxococcales
Description: tRNA-Glu
Rfam family: tRNA
About the family: Transfer RNA (tRNA) molecules are approximately 80 nucleotides in length.
Source: RNAcentral
GCCCCUGUCAUCUAAAGGUCAGGAUUCCGGUUUUUCAAGCCGGCCAUACGGGUUCGAGCCCCGUCGGGGGUA